UACAGAGGUCCCAAGCGUUGUUCGGAUUCAUUGGGCGUAAAGGGUGCGUAGGUGGCGCCGUAAGUCAGGUGUGAAAUCUCGGGGCUUAACUCCGAAACUGCAUUUGAUACUGCGGUGCUUGAGGACUGGAGAGGAGACUGGAAUUUACGGUGUAGCAGUGAAAUGCGUAGAGAUCGUAAGGAAGACCAGUGGCGAAGGCAGGUCUCUGGACAGUUCCUGACACUGAGGCACGAAGGCCAGGGGAGCAAACGGG
Molecule: ribosomal RNA, 253 nt
Filed under: uncultured bacterium
Lineage: Bacteria
Description: partial 16S ribosomal RNA
Rfam family: Bacterial small subunit ribosomal RNA
Source: RNAcentral